AAUCAACGCUGGCGGCGUGCCUCAGACAUGCAAGUCGAACGAGAAAGUUUCCUUCGGGAGACGAGUACAGUGGCGUCCGGGUGAGUAACACGUGGGUAAUUUACCUUUGGGUGGGGAAUAGCAGCCGGAAACGGCUAUUAAUACCGCAUAAUGCAGCGGCUCGACAUCGAGACAGUUGUUAAAGCGGGGAUCUGACAAGGACCUCGCGCCUAAAGGGAAGCCUGCGUCAGAUUAGCUAGUUGGUAGGGUAAUGGCCUACCAAGGCUGUGAUCUGUAGCCGGCCUGAGAGGGCGGUCGGCCACACUGACACUGACACACGGGUCAGACUCCUACGGGAGGCAGCAGUCGGAAUUUUGGGCAAUGGGCGCAAGCCUGACCCAGCAACGCCGCGUGAAGGAUGAAAUCCCUC
RNAcentral lists this ribosomal RNA (409 nucleotides) under uncultured bacterium. RNAcentral describes it as "bacterial SSU rRNA". It matches the Rfam family "Bacterial small subunit ribosomal RNA", at positions 32 to 419 of the family's 1533-position model. The record is from RNAcentral.